UGGGGAAUUUUGCGCAAUGGGCGAAAGCCUGACGCAGCAACGCCGCGUGUGUGAUGAAGGUCUUCGGAUCGUAAAGCACUGUCGCGAGGGACGAGAAGCCUUCCGUGAACAACGGAGGGAUCAGACGGUACCUCGAGAGGAAGCACCGGCUAACUCUGUGCCAGCAGCCGCGGUAAUACAGAGGGUGCGAGCGUUGUUCGGAAUUAUUGGGCGUAAAGCGCUUGUAGGCGGUCGCUUAAGUCUCAUGUGAAAGCCCUUGGCUCAACCAAGGAAGUGCAUGAGAUACUGAACGACUCGAGUGCCGGAGAGGGUCGCGGAAUUCCCGGUGUAGAGGUGAAAUUCGUAGAUAUCGGGAGGAACACCAGUGGCGAAGGCGGCGACCUGGACGGACACUGACGCUGAGACGCGAAAGCGUGGGGAGCAAACAGG
Molecule: ribosomal RNA, 429 nt
Filed under: uncultured bacterium
Lineage: Bacteria
Description: bacterial SSU rRNA
Rfam family: Bacterial small subunit ribosomal RNA
Source: RNAcentral